Molecule: long non-coding RNA, 772 nt
Filed under: Sinocyclocheilus grahami
Lineage: Eukaryota; Metazoa; Chordata; Actinopteri; Cypriniformes; Cyprinidae
Description: lncRNA (ENSSGRG00000022194.1)
Source: RNAcentral
CAGUUUAUCUGAACUAUGUAUGAAGAUAUAACGGUGAUCAUGUUUGCUUUCUUUUCUCAUAGGCCUACCUGGCAAUCCUGGUCAGCCUGGAGCUAAAGGUGAGACUGGUGAGGCUGGAAGAGUGAUCAAUGCAGGUAAGACUACAUGAAGUAUUAAAACACAUUUAACAGUUUACUGUGCAGUGAUGUGAACUUACUGAGAGUUUUAAUUUUUCAGCAGGUUCUAGCUCAGUGGCAAUCCCAGGACCACCUGGGAGGCCUGGUCCUCCUGGCCCAUCUGGAGCUCCAGGACUCUCAGGUCCCGUUGGCCCUGCUGGACUUCCUGGUCAGCUUGGUAAAUCAGCAUUUUUCAUCUGGAGUAAUAUUGUAUAUUAAAAUAUAAAUUAUAUCCAAAUGACCUUCCAUGCAUGCAUCCAUCCACCUUGAUUUUUGUGCAGGUCCUAAAGGUAAUAAGGGAGAUCAAGGAGAACCGGGUAUUGUUGUUAACGCUGGUGAGACUUUGGUUGCAACGCGAGCAGAAAGACAGUACGGUGCUGCACAUGUUGGUGUUAAUGGACCACCUGGACCUCCUGGUCCCCCAGGGCCUCCUGGACAUCCAGGCGAUUCUAGACCAGGUCCACCGGGACCACCUGGUGAAACAGGUGCAGCAGGAUAUGGCAGACCUGGUCCUAAAGGAGACAAGGGAGAACCAGGAAACUUUGUGCCUAAUUCAGGUUCGAUUCCAGCAUAUAUCUAGUAUUAUACGUUGUUCUAAGGGUGUUGUGGUUUUUUAA